CCUACGGGGGGCAGCAGUGGGGGAUAUUGCACAAUGGGGGAAACCCUGAUGCAGCGACGCCGCGUGAGUGAAGAAGUAUUUCGGUACGUAAAGCUCUAUCGGCAGGGAAGAAGAUGACGGUACCUGACCAAGAAGCCCCGGCUAACUACGUGCCAGCAGCCGCGGUAAUACGGAGGGGGCAAGCGUUAUCCGGAUUUACUGGGUGUAAAGGGGGCGCAGACGGCAAUGCAAGCCAGGAGUGAAAGCCCGGGGCCCAACCCCGGGACUGCUCUUGGAACUGCAUGGCUGGGGUACAGGAGGGGCAG
RNAcentral lists this ribosomal RNA (305 nucleotides) under uncultured bacterium. RNAcentral's name for it is "bacterial SSU rRNA". It matches the Rfam family "Bacterial small subunit ribosomal RNA", at positions 338 to 660 of the family's 1533-position model. The record is from RNAcentral.